GAAUUGCAUCGCUGGUUAGAGCGCACGCCUGAUAAGCGUGAGGUCGGUGGUUCAAGUCCACCUAGACCCACCA
RNAcentral lists this transfer RNA (73 nucleotides) under Candidatus Thiomargarita nelsonii. RNAcentral's name for it is "tRNA-Ile". The stretch from base 8 to 63 matches the Rfam family "tRNA", at positions 7 to 64 of the family's 71-position model. Rfam says of the family: Transfer RNA (tRNA) molecules are approximately 80 nucleotides in length. Their secondary structure includes four short double-helical elements and three loops (D, anti-codon, and T loops). The record is from RNAcentral. Lineage: Bacteria; Pseudomonadati; Pseudomonadota; Gammaproteobacteria; Thiotrichales; Thiotrichaceae.